GACGAACGCUGGCGGCGUGCCUCAUACAUGCAAGUCGAGCGGAUGUAGUAAUACAUCAGCGGCGGACGGGUGAGUAACACGUGGGCAACCUGGCCUUAAGAGGGGGAUAACGUCCCGAAAGGGACGCUAAUACCGCGUAAAUCAACGAGAUCGCAUGAUUUUGUUGGAAAAGGAGUAAUCCGCUUAAGGAUGGGCCCGCGGCCUAUUAGCUAGUUGGUAGGGUAACGGCCUACCAAGGCGACGAUAGGUAGCCGACCUGAGAGGGUGAACGGCCACACUGGAACUGAGAAACGGUCCAGACUCCUACGGGAGGCAGCAGUAGGGAAUAUUCCGCAAUGGGCGAAAGCCUGACGGAGCAACGCCGCGUGAGUGAAGAAGGUUUUCGGAUCGUAAAGCUCUGUCAACAGGGACGAAACAAGACGGUACCUGAGAAGGAAGCCACGGCAAACUACGUG
Molecule: ribosomal RNA, 455 nt
Filed under: uncultured bacterium
Lineage: Bacteria
Description: bacterial SSU rRNA
Rfam family: Bacterial small subunit ribosomal RNA
Source: RNAcentral